UUUUUUUUAAGACAAUUUAAUAGUAUAAAACACAUGUUGAUACUGACUGUGUACUAUGGGUAACACAUAGCAAAAACAAUAAGUCUUCCAAACGUUUGUAUAAAUAAUCACUAUGAAAGAAAGACAACUCUGAUGUUUACAAUAAUAGUUGCUUGCUAAUAAUUUCUAAUUUGUUAAGGUUCAUGAGGACCCUUUGGUUAAAAUGGCUGUAUUUUCACCUCAAAAUUUACUCUGAGUACAGACAAACCUGUGCAUCUGUAAAAUUUUAAGGCACAGCAUGCCCUAGAUAAAUAUAUUUCAAAUAUGUUUUGUGUUUUAGAAAAAUAAAAACUUACCAGGAUUUUGCAGUUCACUUUUUUUCAUUCCUCCAGAAGGUGCCAAAAUAAACUAAGUUGUGAAACAGUUUUGAGAACUUCCCCACAGGUAAUAAUUGAAGUGAGCUGUAUUGAUUGACAUGGACAAUAGAUGGACAAUAGAUACCUGACAAUAAUUGGUGAUUUAAACUGUGUACCUGAGUGGACCAUAUCAAGGAAAACUCAACUGUUUGUUAAUUUUAUCAUCUUCUGCAGGUACGAAAAAAAGUGCAUUGCAAAAUCCAGUUAAGUUAUGAAUUUUCUAAAUAAUACAAUGCAUUUGAAUACUAUUUAUCUAGGGCAUGCUAUGCCCUAAAACUUUUCCAGGUGCACAGAUUUGUCUGUACUCAGAGUAAAUUUUGAGGUGAAAAUACGGCCAUUUUAGCCAAAGGGUCCACAUGAACCUUAAUGUGAAUUUUAAAGCAUAUAUUUAUUUUCAAGCAUUUAUUUAUUUUAAAGCAUUUAUUUAUUUCAAUGCAUUUAUUUUUUCAACUUAACUGAGAGCAUUGGUAAAUGCAUUUUUUGACUCAUUGUGGUAAGUAAGCAAUGGUUACACAUUUGAAAUAAUUCACACACACAUUGUAGUUAUGUUCUUAACCAAAAGAUUUGAAUGUAAUACACUUAAUAAUAUACUAAAUAGAUAAGUAAUUUAGUCUUUCAAAUAAUCUUACAAUAUUUUCUGGAUUCUAUCCUACCCAAUCAUAGGUAUUAUUACCAAACAAGCCAGUUUUACUAGUUUUGUUGCACAGCAGGUUUAUUACAUGGGAUUUUCAAGUAGUUUGUAUUUCAUUUUCAUAUUUUCAAUCCUUAUUUGAUGCAUGUGAACAUAUUUGACAUAGCCUGUUUGAGGCAUGCUUGAUAAUAUAAAAAUAAGAAGAUGUGGUAUGAUGAAGGACAACUCUUCACCACAAAUCAACUGACAGAGCAGUUAGCAUCUAUAGGUCGCUUCAACAUUGAUAUAAAUGGUCUUCAACAAUGAUCAAACCUUAUACUACACAGCAAGCUAUAAAAAGUCCUGAAAUGACAAAUGUAAAACAAUACAAACAAGAAAACUGAAGACCUGAUUUAUAUACAAAACAAUAAACAAAAACCAACAAGCACUAUAGGAUCAAACUCUUGAUCUCACACCUGAAGAUGCUUCUGCACAACAAAUCACAUGGCUGUUAGCCAUCACCGUUCCAAAAUAUGACCAUGGACACAAAUCAAGAAAAAUGGCCAUUAAUGCUGAGGGUACUUACAACUGCAUUCAUCUGUAGUUAUAUCGGCCAAAAAUAAGAAAUUUCAAAAGUAAAUUUAAGAUGUAUAAGGUUCCUUAUCAGUUCUUAGUCAGUAAUAAAAAAUAAACUGAUAAUAUAUAUCAUAGCACAUGUACCAUUCAAUAACAUAACCUUUUUGUUACCAGUAAAAAUGUUAUAGAAAUAUAUCAUGCAUAAACCAUAUCAGAUAUUACAUAACAAUUUCUUACAAAUGAGUGUAUGCAAUGUUUGAAAAUAUAAACAUUUAAUACAUAUAAAACAUAUCAUAUGUUGAAAUAUACAAUGAAUUUAUAACAAGACUUCAAUUACUUAUUUAAAGCAUAGUAGUCUGAAGCACAUAGUUUUUUUUUUUAUAUCUUUUAUAAAACGUUACAAAACUAUAUCAAUUUAGCACUUUUUAAAGGAGCAUGGCACAACGAGUGAUUAUGACAAUGGUAUUGAUAUAAUAGCCCCUGUUGAUCAACGAGUGAUUAUGACAAUGGUAUUGAUAUAAUAGCCCCUGUUGAUCAACGAGUGAUUAUAACAAUGGUAUUGAUAUAAUAGCCCCUGUUGAUCAAUGAGUGAUUAUGACAAUGGUAUUGAUAUAUAAUAGCCCCUGUUGAUCAACGAGUGAUUAUGACAAUGGUAUUG
RNAcentral lists this long non-coding RNA (2239 nucleotides) under Mytilus galloprovincialis (Mediterranean mussel). The record is from RNAcentral. Lineage: Eukaryota; Metazoa; Mollusca; Bivalvia; Mytilida; Mytilidae.